GAAUGUAACUGGACCCAGCCACCUU
This 25-nucleotide microRNA is filed under the name Equus caballus (horse). Its description in RNAcentral is "eca-miR-9031". The record is from miRBase by way of RNAcentral. Lineage: Eukaryota; Metazoa; Chordata; Mammalia; Perissodactyla; Equidae.